CUGCGUGAAGCUGGAAUCGCUAGUAAUCGCGGAUCAGCAUGCCGCGGUGAAUACGUUCCCGGGCCUUGUACACACCGCCCGUCACACCACGAGAGUUUGUAACACCCGAAGUCGGUGAGGUAACCUUUAUGGAGCCAGCCGCCGAAGGUGGGACAGAUGAUUGGGGUGAAGUCGUAACAAGGUAGCCGUAUCGGAAGGUGCGGCUGGAUCACCUCCUUUCUAAGGA
This 226-nucleotide ribosomal RNA is filed under the name Bacillus velezensis. RNAcentral's name for it is "partial 16S ribosomal RNA". It matches the Rfam family "Bacterial small subunit ribosomal RNA", at positions 1316 to 1533 of the family's 1533-position model. The record is from RNAcentral. Lineage: Bacteria; Bacillati; Bacillota; Bacilli; Caryophanales; Bacillaceae.